GUCGGGAUAGCUCAGCUGGU
Molecule: transfer RNA, 20 nt
Filed under: Potentilla indica
Lineage: Eukaryota; Viridiplantae; Streptophyta; Magnoliopsida; Rosales; Rosaceae
Also listed under: 29 other names
Description: partial transfer RNA-Phe (GAA)
Source: RNAcentral